Long non-coding RNA from Numida meleagris (helmeted guineafowl), 629 nucleotides. The record is from Ensembl. Lineage: Eukaryota; Metazoa; Chordata; Aves; Galliformes; Numididae.
AAAUCAUUCAACUGUCAAGAAGGAAUGAUGGAAAGUCACUAAGAAAGUGCAAGCUUAUUUUGCAUGCACAAUAAGGCACAUCCUGCAGGAAACAAAUUAAGAAGUCAAAGGCAAGGACCCUGCGAUAGCAACUUCACGGACUCUAAAUUCCACUGCAAGUGUUAACCUCCGGCUACAUUUACAUUUGGAAGGGAUGUGGAUGCACAGAUGUGCCAGGGGACUCAGCAAUCCAGCUGCACACAACUCUCAGGUCCAUGGAAAAGCAGGUUACUUCAAGAAUCAACGCUAUCUAUUACUGCAAGGGUGCAAGCAGAUUCAUCACCUCUACUGAAGAUUACAGAAAAAUUUUAAAUGAAAUUGAAGAGGCAGGAUGAGGUAUUUUCCAUGUCUCUCAGACUCACUUUUCUAAGUACAAGACAGAAUGGUUAAUCUCCCAGGCUGAAAAGGUAGGCCCCAUGUCUUUCAUUUUAGAUAGCUACUUCUGAAAUACCAAACCUAUUUUUAUGCAGAUAGAAAACAACAUAAAAAUGUUAAAAGCUUUAAGAGGAAUAUACCUUUUUUAAAUAUAUCUUCUCCUACUAAGUCAGUAAAAGAAAGAGCAACUACAAUAAACAAGGGCAGACUUUUCA